ACAUGUCAUAGAUAGGAAAUGAUGAAACAGGAUUGUCUACCUUGUAACAUAAACGUAAUCAUGUGUGUCGUGAUUUCCCUGGCUGACCAAUCACGUCACGUGC
Etheostoma spectabile (orangethroat darter) is the source of this 103-nucleotide long non-coding RNA. RefSeq lists it as uncharacterized. The record is from RefSeq and is a predicted model, not a curated record. The transcript has 3 exons. NCBI's taxonomy places the organism in Eukaryota, Metazoa, Chordata, Actinopteri, Perciformes, Percidae.